AUUAUAACUGUGACGAGAAGAGUAGCAUUAGGACGUAGUUCUAGCGAGUAAGGGAUGGUGUAAGCCUUAUACGAAGCCUAUUAGUGAAGAACAUCUCUGAGUUUCUAACCGAAAGUAAAUUUUUAUUUAUUAGUAGACUUAGACGGAUAAUCUAGACCGUUAACUUCUAGAUUGAGCAUAAUAUUGUGCUUAAAUUUGAGUUGGCUAUAAAUUUUUAUAGCAAUUUGGGUGGUACCGCGAAUGUAUCCUUUCGUCCCAUUU
RNAcentral lists this non-coding RNA (261 nucleotides) under Clostridium baratii. Its description in RNAcentral is "T-box sequence". It matches the Rfam family "T-box leader". From Rfam's summary of the family: Uncharged tRNA acts as the effector for transcription antitermination of genes in the T-box leader family. T-boxes are found upstream of many aminoacyl-tRNA synthetase genes and some amino acid biosynthetic genes usually in Gram-positive bacteria. The record is from RNAcentral. Lineage: Bacteria; Bacillati; Bacillota; Clostridia; Eubacteriales; Clostridiaceae.